GACGAACGCUGGCGGCGUGCCUAAUACAUGCAAGUUGAGCGAUGAAGAUUGGUGCUUGCACCAAUUUGAAGAGCAGCGAACGGGUGAGUAACGCGUGGGGAAUCUGCCUUUGAGCGGGGGACAACAUUUGGAAACGAAUGCUAAUACCGCAUAUCAACUUUAAACAUAAGUUUUAAGUUUGAAAGAUGCAAUUGCAUCACUCAAAGAUGAUCCCGCGUUGUAUUAGCUAGUUGGUGAGGUAAAGGCUCACCAAGGCGAUGAUACAUAGCCGACCUGAGAGGGUGAUCGGCCACAUUGGGACUGAGACACGGCCCAAACUCCUACGGGAGGCAGCAGUAGGGAAUCUUCGGCAACGGACGAAAGUCUGACCGAGCAACGCCGCGUGAGUGAAGAAGGUUUUCGGAUCGUAAAACUCUGUUGGUAAAGAAGAACGUUGGUGAGAGUGGAAAGCUCAUCAAGUGACGGUAACUACCCAGAAAGGGACGGCUAACUACGUG
Molecule: ribosomal RNA, 497 nt
Filed under: uncultured bacterium
Lineage: Bacteria
Description: partial 16S ribosomal RNA
Rfam family: Bacterial small subunit ribosomal RNA
Source: RNAcentral